This 1327-nucleotide long non-coding RNA is filed under the name Gallus gallus (chicken). Its description in RNAcentral is "lncRNA (ENSGALG00010019137.1)". The record is from RNAcentral. Lineage: Eukaryota; Metazoa; Chordata; Aves; Galliformes; Phasianidae.
GUCUAAAAGCUACAGCUUCUGGGAGCAAGUAGGCUUGUGGCAGUCAAGCACAGCCUUAGCUUGUUUGCAUUAGCAGCCAUCAGCUGUGAGGUGAUGGCUUAAGGAAAUGGAUAGGUACUGAGACUCGGGUUAUAAAGAAGCAUAUGGUGCUUUGCAGCUAUGGAUUAUCUGUUGUUGUGCUGGGGCACUCGGACCUUCCAGAAGUGUCUGUGAUUCUUCAUAGCAUGCACUCAAAGGCAACUGUCCAGGAAAGGCUCCACAGUCUGCAGCAGCCCAGGGGGAGAAAGUCUGGUGGUGAUGGAAUGGACCGCAAGAAAACACAACCACCACAGUGCUCAGCACCAGGCUGGCACCUAUGCUCGGUGCCAGACCUCUGGCCAGCACAGGGCUUUGGCUUUAUUGGCUUUUCCAGCCCAUGCAUGGCUCAUCUCGCCAUUACUGAUCUGCCUGCAGGAACAAGGACGUGUCACCAGCACAGCAGCUCUGACUCAGGUCCGUGGGGAGCGAAGUGAUGCUCAUGCUCCCCGUAGCAGCUCCUCCAGCCUGCUCGCUCCAAUAAUAGCCUCCGUGUGUGAAAUUUCACCUGACCUGAACUUUUCCUGAGUUUAUCCAGCCUUCACCCUGACAGUUCAGAGCAGAACUGUUUUUGUGCCUCGCAACCCAGACACCAAAUUGGAGCUGAAGUGACGUUUAUUGUUUCAACAGUGUUAUUAUAUGAAGAUUGAGCUCAUUACAAACAUGACCUGUUUUUGAGCCAGGACACAUAUUAAUUUGGAUAAAAUACCAGCUGUGUCCUCUCUCCAUAUGGCCUUAUCGGAAAACAAACUGGGUUAAGUUUCAUUCCAAAGAAUGAAAAUAUAAUUGAAUACUUGCCUCGUUUGAGGAAACUCAAAUAAUCAUUAUCGUCACGUCUCCGCUAAUCGCAGCAGAGAGGGGGCAGAGGUGUUUAUUUCUGUGUGCAUCUAAAAAUAAACCAAGGCACAAUUCCUGUGGGGGGAAACAGAGGGCAGCACGGGGCAGACUUUCCUCCAGCUCUGGGAGAAGAAGGUCGUCCCCCAACCUAUGGACCAGAGGUGCAUAUUGAGGUUUUGCUGUGUUUUUGUGGUGAUUUUUGCAUUUGUUUUGUGGUAUUCUUUUUUUUUCCCCCAGAGGAGACAGGGGUUAUCUCUGAAAAGGCAUAGAUGUGGAUAUGUGGAGGUCUUUUCUCCUCCCCAUCAGCACUCUCAGUGUUGUAAUUAAGGGUUGGGGGCAAGCGCUGCAUCCCACCACUGCAUGUUGGCCUCAGACAUCCCCAUCAACAACCCAGACAGACAAACUUAGGAAUAGG